GGAGUUAGCCGGUGCUUCUUCUGUGAGUGAUGUCCUUCCUGCCGGCUAUUAACCCGCAGGCCUUCUUCCUCACUGAAAGUGCUUUACAACCCGAAGGCCUUCUUCACACACUCGGCAUGGCUGGAUCAGGGUUGCCCCCAUUGUCCAAUAUUCCCCACUGCUGCCUCCCGUAGGAGUCUGGGCCGUGUCUCAGUCCCAGUGUGGCUGAUCAUCCUCUCAGACCAGCUACGGAUCGUCGCCUUGGUGAGCCGUUACCUCACCAACCAGCUAAUCCGACAUAGGCUCAUCCGAUAGCGCGAGGCCCGAAGGUCCCCCGCUUUCCCCCGUAGGGCGUAUGCGGUAUUAGCCUGGGUUUCCCCAGGUUAUCCCCCACUACCGGGCAGAUUCCUAUGCAUUACUCACCCGUCCGCCGCUCGCCACCAGGGAGCAAGCUCCCCGUGCUGCCGCUCGACUUGCAUGUGUUAGGCCUGCCGCCAGCGUUCAAUCUGAGCCAUGAUCAAACUCUGA
This 507-nucleotide ribosomal RNA is filed under the name uncultured bacterium. Its description in RNAcentral is "partial 16S ribosomal RNA". The record is from RNAcentral.